UACGGAGGGUGCAAGCGUUAAUCGGAAUUACUGGGCGUAAAGCGCACGCAGGUGGCUGAGUCAGUCGAUUGUGAAAGCCCUGGGCUUAACCUGGGAAUUGCAGUCGAUACUACUCAGCUAGAGUAUGGGAGAGGGCAGUGGAAUUCCCGGUGUAGCGGUGAAAUGCGUAGAGAUCGGGAGGAACACCAGAGGCGAAGGCGGCGACCUGGACAAGUACUGACACUCAACUACGAAAGCGUGGGGAGCAAACAGG
RNAcentral lists this ribosomal RNA (253 nucleotides) under uncultured bacterium. Its description in RNAcentral is "partial 16S ribosomal RNA". It matches the Rfam family "Bacterial small subunit ribosomal RNA", at positions 524 to 776 of the family's 1533-position model. The record is from RNAcentral.